ACUCCUACGGGAGGCAGCAGUAGGGAAGCAACCACAAUGGGUGAAAACCUGAUGGAGCAUACUUUGAGAGAAAAAGAAGGUCUUCGGAUCGUAAAGCUCUGUUGUUAGAGAAGAAUAAGUCGGGUAGUAACUGCCCCGACCUUCUCAGAAUCUAACCAGAAAGUCACGGCUAACUACGUGCCAGCAGCCGCGGUAAU
This 197-nucleotide ribosomal RNA is filed under the name uncultured bacterium. Its description in RNAcentral is "partial 16S ribosomal RNA". It matches the Rfam family "Bacterial small subunit ribosomal RNA", at positions 335 to 524 of the family's 1533-position model. The record is from RNAcentral.